UCAGUCCAGCUGUGGUAGGGACAACAAAUAGGAUGCAGCUCUUUGCACUGAGAGCAUGUGGUCUUUGGGAAAUCAAAUUCUCCAUUAGAAUACUAGUACUGGAAUAAUUCAGCUCCCUGGAAAGUGAAAAUGGGAGGAAGCAUCAACCCUGGGAGGAAUUUCCAUGGGGGACUGAGGGCUGCAUUAAAGAUAUUUGGAGACAAAACAUCCUUGCUGUGAUCGUCUGUGCGCUGUGGGUCGUCUGGAUGUGGUCCUCAGUGAUUUGCCAUCCCACAGUCAGAAAAUUCACUUCCUAACACUGUGAUAAAGGGGGAAAAGAAAACCCAACUCAGGAUUUGGUGUCUGCAGCAAAGAGCCCUCCAGAUUCAAGUAUUUCCUUCUACUGGAGUAAAUUAUGUUUUAUGACUAUAAUUAACUGGGAGCUAGCACACACUGCGCUGGUUUAAAGCUGACUCAAUGCUGUCUGAGAAGCACAGUGUGAUAAAACAACAUUCAAAUCAGCUUCUUAACUAAGCUGGCAAGUGACACAAUCUGGAGACCGAUGCCAAGAGGAAGUGGAGGUUUGCAAAGCCCCAGGCACAAGGAGGGAUUUCAAGGGUUGGAAGUGUUUUGUUUAAGGAUCUGGUUUCCAAACCACAGUCCAUGGAUGGGUCGUGGCUUUGGAAAAAUAGAUGUCCCCCAGUGAGUUAUUUCUGUUGCCAAUAGUAUGUACCCAAAAGCAUUGGAGAAAUAUGCUGGUCUGUAAAGAUUGGAGGCCGCAGCUGCUGGGCAUGGGUGAAGGCAGAUGAAAUAGUGAGUGCUUUGGGUUAAAAUAUUAAGUUUUUCUGCCUAACACUAGCUCUGUGUGGAAAAUUACAAGGAUAGGUGUAUCUGGAUGGAAACCAGCUCCUAGCCUCUCUUCUAACUGCAUUUUACACUGGAUUAUGAAACAGGAAAGGGAGGAAGGAGCUGCUAUAAGAUUUGACAUUUUUGUUGAUGUCAUUAGGUAUACAGGGAGGAAAAAAAGGCACAACCAAGUCUAACAGCUGUUUGGUCUCAUCUUUAUUAUUGUGACUCCAAGAUGGAGAUAAGCAGAUCUUUCCUUAUCUUGUUUAAAUUUGCAGGGAUGUUUGGCAGUUUUUAGGCCAUUAACUGCACUUCUCAAUGUUUUGCCCAAUGCCCUCAGCAAAAGCACUAGAAAGGUCAAGGCCUUCACUUUCCAAACCAAUGUACAAGAGGUAAUGGUUUUCAGUUGCACCAGGGGAGCACCAGGUUGAAUUUUAGGAAAAAUUUCUUCUCCAAAAGAUUGGUUGGGCACCAGGGAGCUGGUGGAAUCACCAUCCAUGCAGGAGUUCUAGAGCCGUGAAGAUGUGGCAUUGAGGGACACAGUGGGCAUGGUGGGAUGGGUUGGGGUUGGACAUGGUGAUCCUAGAGGUCUUUUUCAACCUUAAUGACCUUCUGAUUCUAUGAGCUAACCCAGAAUUCAUCCCUGUGCUGCAAAGCUCCAAGCAAACAGCCAAGUGGCAUCGUUACUGAUAGGAAAACAGUGCUGAAAGCUUGAAUCACCUGAGCUAAAACAGUAGUGGGUGGGCUAAUGAGCCCUAGCACCACCCAGAGAGCACCUGUGUCUCUCCUAGCCCUAUAUCACGUUUCUCUCCUUGCCAUAUGCAGCCAUACUCUCUGCGGUGAUGUUCACAGAAGGCAUUAUCCAUUGCUUCUUGGAAAAUGUUGUGGUUUUGAAGGCUGUUUGCUUGCUGCUGAAUAUAAUUUUGUUAACUGCCACAAACCAGCAAGAAAAUUGUUUUCUUUCUACGUGAUAAAGAACAACCUAUAAAAAGACUGAAAUUGAAGUGAAACAUUUUGCUUGAGUGAAGAGGAGGAAGUUUUCAUUGGCCUGAUGGAAAACUUGCAUUUUUAUUUGUGGCUGCCUGUAACUACACCAUCGCCAGGCCAGGGGCCAGCAGGAUGGAGCGUGCCCAGCGUUCUUCAUUGCCCCCAAUGUAAAGUCUGAGUGCUCUGCAUUAGCAGCAGUAGUUUGGACCUAUCCCUUCAACUCUGCCCACCUCAGGAUGGCCGUUGUGUUCCUAUGACGCAGCCCUGGGAGGUGUAACAUUGAACGAUGGAAGUCAAGUUGAAAGAGAUCUUAAACCUGGGUUGCCACCCAGGAUAUCAGGUAGCCAUCAGUUACCCUUCCUUUGUCCACCAAUGCUAUCAUCUCCCAAAGUGGCCCAGGUGAAGAGCUGGAAGGAGCUGAAGCUGGCCUCUUCCGUUGCUCUCAUGAUGAGUCCACAACAUCCCAGGCUCUGACCAUGGGACUUCUGCACAGUGAUCCUAUAUUUGCCCAGCAGUUGCUGAGCUCUGACCUCGGCUGUGAUGUACCACAUAGUGCCAGGACCCCAGGAUGCUACCAAGCAUUGGAUUCAUAACUUCAGAGCCACACAGAUGGUGAGAGAUAACGUACAAGCAAUAAUAGAUAGCUUUGUGUCUCCAAUCAGUAUUUAUUUCCUUUUCUUCUUCCCUAAAUUGUGAGUUCCUGAAAGUGUUGUCAUGACUACUGAAGAGUGAACUUGACUCGCUUCGGCAGCCUUUGUUCCCUCCAAGUGAGCUGAUCUAAAAUUUGUCAAAACUCUCUUGUCGCUGGCUGCAAAAAUAUUGUAUCUAUUUCUUCAGAGGAGCUUCUUUUGCAAGUCUCUUUUAGCUGCACAUAAAGGGCACGGCGAGAGUCCAAGCCUGCCAUAAUGCAGUGAUUUUAAUGCCUCUGGGUGCUCUCAGUUAAUAAGUCUUGGAUUGUUCCCUCGUUUCCAGCAAUCUUUCUGUCACACAUCAAAAGCCCUAGGUUGAUCAUGAGUAAUCCUCAGGGGUACCAUGUGGCUCAAACCCAACUCUUGCUGAGAUCAGUGGACAGAAAUGAAGAGAGCAGAGCUCACCAAGCCUGGGUGAGUACGUAAAUUGCUGAUCCUCCUGCGAUGUCAGUGCAUGUGGAUAACAAGCAGGCUCCUUCCAAGGAAAGGGGAAGAGAAAAGAGAGGUGCACAUACAUAGCUGAGGGUGAACAGGGCAAGAUAUAUGUCAGGACAGCCUAAGAGAUGCAUUAUUCCUACUGCAAAAACGUUGUGGGAAAUGUUGUGUCUUCAAAUGGUAGUUUAGAUUUCUGCAGAACAGAUGAAACCCCCUUGGCAAAUUCUCUUGGAUUUAAUGGAGAUAAUAUAAGUUCAAUCUCGUUCCAUAAAAAAGAUAAGUAGAAAGAUGAAGAACAUGCCUUUACUUCAAGAUUUUCUUGUAGUGUUUCAGCUGCCUGGUGAUAUAUAUCACAUGUAUCACUUUAUAGUACACAAAGAUUUGUUUUCCUUUGGACUCCACAGCUUUCCACAGCUAUAUAUUGAUGCUAGUACUUCUCAGUUAGCUAUUGACUUAAGCAUUUUGACAGACAAAAACCAAAAAAUUUGUCAUAGUUUACUUUCUACAGGUGCCUUUUAUCUUUUUUUGCUGUCGUUUUUGUUUUUCUUCACUACGUUUCUUUGCAUUUAAGGAUUCCUGAUUCUUCCAAAACUGGGCACUCAUGGGCCCAAUAAAGCUGAUGCGUUAAAAUAGCAUCCUGCCACACUGAAGAUCUUGAGUCUUUUUCACAGUGCAUUAAUCCUGCCAGGAUCUGAGUUUUGUAAUGUAUAUCAUAGAAGCAGGCAUUCACUGACUAUUAGCUGCAUUGGGAUUGGAAAUGGCAGCUUUCUAGCGCUCUGAUGGCCUUGGAGGCUGAUGUGGCAGCACUUAAUGUGCAGGCAAAAACUUCGCUUGGAUGCCCAGCUGAAAGACAGUUCAGAAACACCCCCAGCACCAACAGCUUGCAGAGAAGAUCCAAACACUUCCAACUUCACUCCCAACUCCUCACAGGCUCAUUGUGCACACUGUGGGGACCAGUUGCUUGCCAUCACCCGUGGCAUCUGCCCUCCCUCGUUCUUCAGUGUUAGGAUGCCAUGGGAGAAAUGAGAAAAUCCUUUUUAAUCCCAGGAGAGCACUUAAUUUCAAAAAUUCUCUGUCCUCCUGGUAGUAAAAAUACCUUCUUGAAAGGUCGGUGGAAAAAUUGCACCUCUAUCAGAUGAGCACUGAGAUGGAGGGGCAAUGGUGGCCGCCAAGCCUUAGAAUGGGUUGGGUUAUAAGAGAUCUCAAGGAUCAUCUAGUUCCAACCCUCUUCUUUGCCUCAUGUUUGGAGGAACCCACAGAAACGCUGUGAAAUCACAGGAUCUGUAAAUGAUUUAGCCUUGUUUUGUGCUAAAAGAAAUAAUCAUUGAUUCUUCCCCAUGCUGGGACAUUGCACCCACGUGGGGUAGGCUGAUCUUCUGGACUCCCUCUUGUAGGUCUCAUCAUCCCUUGCUCCUUCCCUGUGUGGGAAAAUGCUAUAAUUCACCUGUCCCUAUUUCUGGAUAUAUUCUCAGACACUGAAGAUCUUGACCACUCACUGUUAAUCAAUAGAGCUGGAAAGUAGCCAUCAGCCUAUUACUGUUUCAAACUCCUUCAGAGCAAAAACUGUCUGGGAAAAUGAACGGUAGAGAUGAAAUACAUACAUUUCUCUGGUAAUAUUUCAGAGGAAAGGGCACAGCAGUAGCUUUCCUUUUUAAGCCUGUACUCUAUGUAUGAAAUAUAUUUGAGGGAUUUGGAGAAGGAAGAAAAAUUAAAAUAAUUAAGGAGCUGACAGAACUGAUUUAGAGCUGGAAGAAAGGGGCAAAGGAUUGAGAGUGUUCAAUGUGGACACGCUGCAUCAGGCCCCAUCCAAGUUCUGGUUCUGCUCCAUGGACCCACAUGCUGGAAUCUGAAUCCAGAUUCCCACGAGCUCCAACUAGAUGGGAAACCAGGCUUGGCUGCUGUGGUCUCAAAAGCCAUCAAGACCCAUUGCAAGUAGUAUUACAGACCAGGGGUUGGAGAUUUCCAGUGUUGCAGGGGCUCAAGGUCGGGUUCUGGCCCUCGAGAGAGGCUUUCAGGUGUGGUGUGCAGACACCAUUCAUAGGUGGAAGAUGUGUAAACCUCUCCACAAGUAGCUGUUGCAGCAGGGAGAUUAUUUUAGGAAGCGCAGCAGUUACUGUCAGCAUGUCUGUGCUCUAGUCAGCAGAUGGAGGAUGCAUAAUUUAAAACAGGAGUGACCAGAUUAAGGUCUUUCCAUCUGCCUUUCAAGUGCAGCAGUAGGAGGAAUCUGCUCACAUCAAAUAAAACUCAUCCAGCAGCUCUGCUUCCAAUUGGCAAGCUGUGAAAGCCCAGCUCUUCAGAAGCUCUUCCCUCCUCUGUGAAAAGGGACAAACUUGUCUUUUCCAUUUCAUGCACCUCUUCAUUCACUUUGUGCUGCUAGAUUCAGAAGCAAGAGCCCUAACUUGACAUCAGUCCUCACUUGGAUUAGGAGCCCUGCCAACAGAAAAGCAUUUGAGCAACUUUACACUGUGAUAGGCAAGAGACCUUCACAAAAAGUAACUUAAUUUCUUAAUAACUGAGUGGUUGACCAGACCUUUCUCCUUUGCAAAAGCUAAUUCUGUUACAUGCAUUUCACUGCAGAGGAGCAUUCAUUUGAUUGCACAUGAAUCAUUCCAGUGAGAUCUGACAUGAGAGCUGGCUGGACAUCAUCCACUGAAACGCUUGGAGUUUUCCCAUGGAAGACGUUGUUUUACAUCAAAGAGAGUCUGAUUCCAGAGAAAGAAAAUUGUAAUGAUUUUUUAAUGAGGAGUGUUUUAUGUGGAAGGCAUUUAAACACACAACUUAGGAAAUCUUAAAGGUCUGUUUGUAAGUAUUUUCAUAGAACUACUGAGAUUGGAAAAAACCACCGAGAUCACCAAACC
Molecule: long non-coding RNA, 5794 nt
Organism: Tympanuchus pallidicinctus (lesser prairie-chicken)
Lineage: Eukaryota; Metazoa; Chordata; Aves; Galliformes; Phasianidae
Exons: 6
Source: RefSeq, a predicted model, not a curated record